CCCGUGGAGAAGCAACGUUGGCCAUGGGCCAGCCAGGCAGCCUGCAGGUGGACUACGUCUUCCGGGGUGUGGAGCAUGCUGUGCGGGUGGUGGUUACCGGGCAGGUGCUGGAGCUGAAGGUGGAGGACCGGAUGACUGUGGACCAGUGGCGGGGCGAGUUCGACGCAGGCUUCAUUGAAAAUUAGACUCACAAGACAGGGAACUUCAAACAGUUCAACAUCUUCUGUCAUAUGCUGGAGUCAGCCCUCACUCAGAGCAGUGAGUCAGUCACUCUGGACUUGCUUACCUACACAGACCUGGAGUCCCUGCGGAACCACAAGAUGGGGGGCCGUCCAGGCCCUCUGGCCCCCAGAUCGGCCUAGCUCAACUCCAAGCGCUACCUAAUCCUCAUCUACUCAGUGGAGUUUGACAGGAUUCACUAUCCGCUGCCCCUCCCGUACCAGGGCAAGCCAGACCCUGUGGUUCUGCAGGGCAUCAUCCACUCACUGAAGGAGGAACUGAGCCGCCUGCAAGGGCUGGGCGGCCAGGAUACUCGGGACACCCGGGAGACUGAGAUCUGGCACCUGUGGGAGCAGGUGACGCGCCUGGCAUCAGAGAAGCGCGAGCUGGAGGUGCAGCCGGGCCGAUCGCGCGAGGAAGCGCUGGCUGGGCGUGCAGCCCGCCAGGAGGCCAAGGCAUUGCGUGGGUUGGUGCGUGGGCUGGAGCUGGCGUUACUGCAGGAGCGCGUCCUUGGGCAUAGGGUGGCUGGCCGCCGAGGCUAGGACUGCGGCAGCCUGGCCAAGGAGCUCGAGGAGGCGAAGGCAUCCGAGCGGAGCCUGCGAGCCCAGCUGAAGAUGCUGACCAGCGAGCUGGCCUUGUACAAGAGGCGGAGGCGGACUCCACCGGUGCAGCCGCCCCUGGCGAGGGAGGACCGGGCCUUGUAGUCCCGGGAGCGCUCCACGUCGCGAGGUCGCGGCGCAGCGCGCUUCCUCAUCCCGGGAGGGCGGCUGCGGGAGCCGUGGUCGAGGCCGACCAGCGCGCCCCUCGCCCUCGCCCACAGGUGGUCGCGCGCUCCACUUCAACCCCACGGCCUUUGUGAAAGCCAAGGAAAGGAAGCAGAGAGAUCAAGAUGAAGCAGCAGCAGCAGCAGUGGAACCGAUUUGGCAGUGGAGGAAGCGGGGACCGUCUGUCAGUCUCCUGGCCUCGCCACACCUGGCCCCCUGAUGCCGUGACUGGACGAGGGGACGCCCCUAACCGCUCAAGAAACCGCAGCUCCUCAGUGGACAGUUUCCGCAGCUGCUGCUCCUCAGCCAGCUCCUGCAGCGAUUUGGAGGAUUCUCUGAGUCGCUUUCCAGAGGGGUUCCCCGCCGCCGUGGCAAGCCUCCUAGCCCAACGACCUGGAGUGGACCCAAUACGAAGUCCACCCCUGUGGAACGCAGCCACCGUGAGAAACGUCUGGCUAAUUCGGGGGGCUGAGUCCCCGGAGUACAGCUUGGACCACCAGGCGGCUGACAUGGCCGAAAUAGAUGAACGACUGAAGGCCUUGCAGGAGUACAUGAACCGACUGGACAUGCGGUCAUGACAUGGAGAGGGGGUACUGCCCCUGCAUCCCCCACCCACUACUGAGUAUGGCAUGGGGGGUGGGGCCAGGGUGGCCUCCAGCCCCACCCAGGCCCUGCCCUGGCCCUGCCCCUCCACAUGCCCCUGGGGUCUCAGGUGUUUGAGGCCCUGGCCCCAGCCUCUCCCCAGGCAGUACAUGCUGGGAGGGAGGAUAUGUGUAUUUUGUAAAUAAAAUAUUUGCCCUUGGGAAAAAAAA
RNA transcript from Callithrix jacchus (white-tufted-ear marmoset), 1795 nucleotides. It is a transcript of the gene named centrosomal protein CCDC61 pseudogene, with no coding region annotated. The record is from RefSeq and is a predicted model, not a curated record. Lineage: Eukaryota; Metazoa; Chordata; Mammalia; Primates; Cebidae.